AUUGAACGCUGGCGGCAGGCCUAACACAUGCAAGUCGAGCGGAUGAAGGGAGCUUGCUCCUGGAUUCAGCGGCGGACGGGUGAGUAAUGCCUAGGAAUCUGCCUGGUAGUGGGGGAUAACGUCCGGAAACGGGCGCUAAUACCGCAUACGUCCUGAGGGAGAAAGUGGGGGAUCUUCGGACCUCACGCUAUCAGAUGAGCCUAGGUCGGAUUAGCUAGUUGGUGGGGUAAAGGCCUACCAAGGCGACGAUCCGUAACUGGUCUGAGAGGAUGAUCAGUCACACUGGAACUGAGACACGGUCCAGACUCCUAGGGGAGGCAGCAGUGGGGAAUAUUGGACAAUGGGCGAAAGCCUGAUCCAGCCAUGCCGCGUGUGUGAAGAAGGUCUUCGGAUUGUAAAGCACUUUAAGUUGGGAGGAAGGGCAGUAAGUUAAUACCUUGCUGUUUUGACGUUACCAACAGAAUAAGCACCGGCUAACUUCGUG
This 484-nucleotide ribosomal RNA is filed under the name uncultured bacterium. RNAcentral describes it as "partial 16S ribosomal RNA". It matches the Rfam family "Bacterial small subunit ribosomal RNA", at positions 30 to 507 of the family's 1533-position model. The record is from RNAcentral.